GAUGAACGCUAGCGGCAGGCCUAAUACAUGCAAGACGAACGGUAAGUUGGGUAGCAAUACUUAGCCAAGAGUGUCGUACGGGUGCGUAACACGUAUGCAACCUACCCUAUACAGGAGGAUAGCCUAGGGAAACCUGGAUUAACCCUUCAUAGUAUUAUUGGAUGGCAUCAUUUGAUAAUUAAAACUGAGGUGGUAUAGGAUGGGCAUGCGUCUGAUUAGUUAGUUGGCGGGGUAAUGGCCCACCAAGACGAUGAUCAGUAGGGGUUCUGAGAGGAAGAUCCCCCCACACUGGCACUGAGAUACGGGCCAGACUCCUACGGGAGGCAGCAGUA
RNAcentral lists this ribosomal RNA (332 nucleotides) under uncultured bacterium. RNAcentral's name for it is "bacterial SSU rRNA". It matches the Rfam family "Bacterial small subunit ribosomal RNA", at positions 28 to 356 of the family's 1533-position model. The record is from RNAcentral.